This 252-nucleotide ribosomal RNA is filed under the name uncultured bacterium. RNAcentral describes it as "partial 16S ribosomal RNA". It matches the Rfam family "Bacterial small subunit ribosomal RNA", at positions 8 to 253 of the family's 1533-position model. The record is from RNAcentral.
AGAGUUUGAUCCUGGCUCAGGAUGAACGCUAGCGGCAGGCCUAACACAUGCAAGUCGAGGGGCAGCGACGGUGUAGCAAUACACUGGUGGCGACCGGCGCGACGGGUGCGUAACGCGUAUGCAACCUACCCAUAACGAGGGGGAUAACACUGAGAAAUUGGUACUAAUACCCCAUAACAUCAGGACCGGCAUCGGUUCUGGUUGAAAACUCCGGUGGUUAUGGAUGGGCAUGCGUUGUAUUAGCUGGUUGGU